Molecule: ribosomal RNA, 301 nt
Filed under: uncultured bacterium
Lineage: Bacteria
Description: partial 16S ribosomal RNA
Rfam family: Bacterial small subunit ribosomal RNA
Source: RNAcentral
CAGCAGCCGCGGGAAAACGAAGGGUGCAAGCGUUAAUCGGAAUUACUGGGCGUAAAGCGUGCGUAGGUGGUGGUUUAAGUCCGCUGUGAAAGCCCUGGGCUCAACCUGGGAAUUGCAGUGGAUACUGGGUCACUAGAGUGUGGUAGAGGAUAGUGGAAUUUCCGGUGUAGCAGUGAAAUGCGUAGAGAUCGGAAGGAACAUCUGUGGCGAAGGCGACUAUCUGGGCCAACACUGACACUGAGGCACGAAAGCGUGGGGAGCAAACAGGAUUAGAUACCCCCGUAGUCCCUGUCUCUUAUAC